UGAAUACGAGACGCUACGGCGUCGAAGCAGUCUAUGUCAUACUUCCAAGAAAAGCUCGCAAUGUCAUAAACAAAUAAUGCCUGUACCAUAACCGACACAGGUGGGUAGGUAGAGUAUACUAAGGGGCGCGAGAUAACUCUCUCUAAGGAACUCGGCAAAAUGACUCCGUAACUUCGGGAGAAGGAGUGCCUUAUUUAUAAGGUUGCAAUAACAAGAUCCAAGCAACUGUUUAUCAAAAACACAGGUCUCCGCUAAGUCGUAAGACGAUGUAUGGGGGCUGACGCCUGCCCAGUGCCAGAAGGUUAAAGAAGUUGGUUAGCAUUCGCGAAGCUGAUAACUGAAGCCCUGGUGAACGGCGGCCGUAACUAUAACGGUCCUAAGGUAGCGAAAUUCCUUGUCGGGUAAGUUCCGACCCGCACGAAAGGCGUAAUGAUUUGGAUACUGUCUCGGAGAGGGGCUCGGUGAAAUAGACUUGUCUGUGAAGAUGCGGACUACCUGCACCUGGACAGAAAGACCCUAUGAAGCUUUACUGUAACUUGAAAUUGAAAUUGGACUUUAUUUGCGCAGCAUAGGUGGGAGGCGUUGAGAGUAUUCUUGCGGGAAUAUUGGAGCCAUCAGUGAGAUACCACUCUUGUAAUGUUAGAUUUCUAACUUUGGAUCAUUAUCUGGUCAAAGAACAGUUUCAGGCGGGCAGUUUGACUGGGGCGGUCGCCUCCCAAAUGGUAACGGAGGCGUACAAAGGUUUCCUCUGAACGGGUAGAAAUCGUAUCUAGAGUGUAAAGGCAUAAGGAAGCUUGACUGUGAGACCUACAAGUCGAGCAGGGACGAAAGUCGGUCUUAGUGAUCUGACGGUGCUGAGUGGAAAGGCCGUCACUCAACGGAUAAAAGUUACUCUAGGAUAACAGGCUGAUCUCCCCCAAGAGUUCACAUCGACGGGGAGGUUUGGCACCUCGAUGUCGGCUCAUCGCAUCCUGGGGCGGUAGUACGUCCCAAGGGUUGGGCUGUUCGCCCAUGAAAGCGGUACGCGAGCUGGGUUCAGAACGUCGUGAGACAGUUCGGUCCAUAUCCGGUGUAGGCGUUAGAAUAUUGAGAGGAGCCUUCUUUAGUACGAGAGGACCGAGAAGGACAUACCUCUGGUGUACCAGUUAUCGUGCCAACGGUAAACGCUGGGUAGCUAUGUAUGGAGAGGAUAACCGCUGAAAGCAUCUAAGUGGGAAGCCCACCUCAAGAUAAG
This 1234-nucleotide ribosomal RNA is filed under the name metagenome. RNAcentral describes it as "bacterial LSU rRNA". It matches the Rfam family "Bacterial large subunit ribosomal RNA", at positions 1564 to 2808 of the family's 2925-position model. The record is from RNAcentral.